GCACGGUUAUCUAGGUAAAAAUGUAUAUAAGCUGUGUUUAGUAGUGAAUAAACGCCAUUUGCCUCACUUACUCCUGGGGUCUGGGUGAGCAUCUGGCCCCGACCUGGUAAAGGGUCGGUUUCGCCCAGCAGUAAGCCCUACAUGUGGACAGAGGACGAACACCGGAUGAGCGAACGGAGACUACAUGCAACAAGUGGUGACCCCGACGUGAUCUGUCUGCUGAGGGUGGCUGCCCGGCGUGCCCGUGACGCGGAGAAGAGCCUGUGAGGUGGCGGCAGGUCGCAUACGUAACAAUGGACCAAGUCAUUAAGGUACUUGUGCAGUUUUGUAAGGACUACUGUGGAAAAUCUGCUCCUUCCCGGAAGGAGAUCGCGGCAGUUUUGUCGCUAUUAAAUGAGCUGGGGGAGCUGGACUCUCCCCGCUACGUUUUGGAUUCGAGUAGGUGGGACUUGCUCACCUCGGUGCUAUGCCAGCGCGCCAUGGCCAGUCAGAAGGCUACGGAACUUAAAACGUGGGGACUGAUAUUAGGAGCCCUUAAAGCGGCCAGAGUUGAGGGAAAGGUAUUGGUGGAGGCUCGAUACCUUUUGGGUCUCAGCGGAGGAGGUGAGACACAGGACCCGGUCGGGUCCGAUGGGGGUUCGGGAGCAGUUUCUUGCAGGGGCCGAGAGGAGACGGAGCCGCCAAUGACCGUUGGCGGGAUGGCGCCGGCUGAGCCGACCGCGCUCAGUUCAAAAGAAGACAAACAACAAGAGAGUGAAAGGUCGUUGUCUCGUCCCCCUCCCCCGUAUCCAAACCCCUCAGGCGGAACGUUGUAUCCUUUAUCAGAAUUACGUCAGUGUUACCUGACUCAAGGGGGCGGAGGAAGCUGUGAUCUACAUGGGCAGGAUCAACUUAGUGCCCACAUGGGGAGGGACCAGACGAAAGGUCCGUCCAAUGCGGACAGGGGGCAUAGCCUACUGUCUCUGGUCACUCCCAGGGGCGGUAGUGCGAGUGAUAGUGUAGAAGAGAAAGAAGGGACUGGCUUUGAGUGCAGGGGGAGGGAUCAAAUGACGGACUGGAAUGGGAUUAGAUCGGAGGCUUUGGGAAAGGGUAUAGUUCCAGAGGCAUUCCAGGUGAUUGUGAGUGAUCGUGGCCCCGAAUGGGUGCCGCCUGACCCCGGGGGUGUUACGCGCCUGGUGGAAUUUAUGGAUAAAAGAGGCCUGAAAUCGCCUCUGACAUUAAAUGCACUACAAACUUUGGCUGCACUGGGGCCUCUCUUCCCCCGUGACAUCACAAACUUAAUGCGUACGGUGCUCAGGCUGGUUCAAUAUACGUUAUGGGAGACGGACUGGGUGGCCGAGUUGGGGGGCCGUGCCGGGGCGGCAGUGGUCGGCCCGGGCUGCUCCCUGCAUGGGACCGGCAUCCAGCGGCUUUCAGGGAAGGCCGUGGGAGUGGCUUUGCCCCAGGGCCAGCUAGCGAGACUAAGGCCAGGGGAGCUAAUAGCAGCCACAGAUGCAGUGGUGGAAGCGUUUAAUAAACUUGUGCAUAAGGCCGAACCACCUAGUCCGUGCACAGAUAUUACCCAGGGCCCGAAUGAAUCCUUUCAAAGCUUUACAGACAGGCUUUUAGCUGCUGCAGAGGGGUCUGAUCUCCUGGUACCGGCCCAAGGGCCAGUGAUCAUUGACUGCUUGCAGCAGAAAUCGCAUGACAAUGUUAAGGCAUUGCUGCGAGCCGGCCGAAGUACGCUUAAUACCUCGGGAGCCGGCCGAAGUACGCUUAAUACCUCGGGAGAAGUUAUUCAGUAUGUCUUAGAUAAGCUCAAGGUGGCUCAUUUAACUAAUGAAAGGCUAGUCACAGCUAUUGUCGUAGCUGUUGGCCUGCGACAGCAAAGAUCGCUGCAGCAGCAAGGGCUGUGUUUCCGAUACGUCCAGUAUGGCCAUGUUAGAGCACAAUGCCCCUGUGGGGGAGGCCAGUCAGGGCCUCCUGAUCACAGGAAGGGCUUGCUAAAGGGUAUCCGUGGUCGGGUAUGCAGCAGUUAAAUAUCAUGAAUCUGGGAAAUUCUGUGGGUACCAUCGCGAAAAGUAAUACCAGAUAUAAGUAGCAUAUCUGCAAAAACUGAGUCUAGGUGCGAGUUUUCUACAGAAAUUCUUCGUUGGCAGACCGAAGCCAACUCCAGAACAACUGAGGGACAGACGAUGGGAUCAAGAACCACUCGUCAAGAGGAGCACUACACCUGCAACGCUGACACUUCCGAUGUUGCUGAUAUUUAUGGUGUCCAUGGCGAUUACAGAGUGUCACAAACAACUACAAUGGACACAAGAACAUAUGCAGAAAAUUAAAGAAGAGCGUGAUCCCUUUGGAAGCUGGCUGGACGGACUGUUUGGGGGAACGGGUUCAUGGUUAAAGCAAUUGCUUAAAGCUCUCGCAGUAGGAUUUGCAAUCUUUGUGUGUAUUCUAAUCUGUCUUCCAUGCCUUGUAGGAUGCUUGCCUUCAACGAAUGAUGGACAAGACUUUUGACUAUCACAUUGAGUAUCAUAGAUUGCGUGAAAAAUUAUAGAGGGGUUUAGGUUGUUGCGUUCGUGCUGUAACGGGGCAAGGCUUGGCCGAGCACGGAAAAGAAUUCCCUGUUGCUCUGAUGAUUGCUUAAGAACUGUAGUAGAAAAUAGUAGGAAUAGUGUGCUGAAAUAUAUUUAGGAUUAGGCGUUUUGCGCUGCUUCGCGAUGUACGGGUUAGGUGUGUGUGUAAGUAGUAUUUAGCUUAGGGAGGGGGAGAUGUUGUAGUAGGCGUCUUGCGGGGGCACGGGAUGUACGGGACAGGCCUCUCCCUAAACAUAGAGAGAUAGUGCUAUCGUGCUGACCUUGUUGCAGAGAAAACAGGAGAAGAAGAAGGAUGAUAAAAGAAUGUGGAAACGGCCAAAUAAGGCACAAUGUUAUCUGGUGUGAACUAAUCAGAGUGGGACAUGACAGCACGGUUAUCUAGGUAAAAAUGUAUAUAAGCUGUGUUUAGUAGUGAAUAAACGCCAUUUGCCUCACUUACUCCUGGGGUCUGGGUGAGCAUCUGGCCCCGACCUGGUAAAGGGUCGGUUUCGCCCAGCAGUAAGCCCUACAUGUGGACAGAGGACGAACACCGGAUGAGCGAACGGAGACUACAUGCAACAGAUCCCUUCCAACCCAAACCAUUCUGUGAUUCCGAGAUUCUGAGAAGCAAGUGAAUAGCUGUUCAACUUCUGCAGCCAGCAUUAUUUAGAGGAGCCACUUUGUUGCGUUCUUCAUUUUUCAGACUGAAAUACUCUGAUUAACAAAAAUUAGUUCAGGUUGCUUUUUUUUUUAAUUCAAAGUACUCUUCUCACUCCUCUUUAAAUAUAUCAGCUAUACAAACAAAUCCAGCUUCUCUUCCUGAUAUAUUUAAGUACCUGUCUUUCUCACACUCAGCAAACAAAACAGGAUAGAAAAUAUGUUUGCCUCUCACAAAGACAGCAAAGCAAGUAAAACAAGAAAUUCACAGUAUAUCAAUUAUGAUCAAACCUUUGUGGUUUGUUGUUGUUGUUGUUUGUAGAAAACAAUCAAGGGAAAAAUUCUACUAGUAUAGACAGUUAUAUCACCUUGACAAAUUAUCUCUCUAAUGAACAACUUUGGCUAUACAUUCUUACAUUAUUUUAAUCAUCCAAAAAAAGCAUAAAUUUGUGUUACUUUAAUCAUGGAAAAAUAGGUAAGAACCCCCUAUUAGUUCUACAUUAUAAAAUAUGAAAGCUACAGAUCUUUUCUUUUUUUUAUGCAUUGCAAAUUGUCUUGUCAGAAGAACAUGAAGAUCAAAUGGCUUUGGCAAGUGAUUAAAAUCCAAGUAGAAGCGGUGAUCAUCUAAAAUGUUAUCUGUUGUUCGUAGGUGGUAAUGCUAUUUAUACACAGUGAAAUAAGGAAAGACCAAGAAAUGACAGUGAAAACCAUGUUAUAGAAGUUGGUGGGGAGAGAAAAAGGGAAAAACAGAACAACUUGGUAGUCUUUGAACAUUGAUGUUCUUCAAUCAGCUGCUAGCAUCAAAUAUCUGUCAUUGGAAAUUUAUUAGCAACUAUUUUAAUAAAUUCUGCAAAUCCUGG
RNAcentral lists this long non-coding RNA (4072 nucleotides) under Gallus gallus (chicken). Its description in RNAcentral is "lncRNA (ENSGALG00010015728.1)". Lineage: Eukaryota; Metazoa; Chordata; Aves; Galliformes; Phasianidae. The record is from RNAcentral.